RNAcentral lists this ribosomal RNA (440 nucleotides) under uncultured bacterium. RNAcentral describes it as "bacterial SSU rRNA". It matches the Rfam family "Bacterial small subunit ribosomal RNA", at positions 338 to 795 of the family's 1533-position model. The record is from RNAcentral.
CCUACGGGUGGCACCAGUGGGGAAUAUUGGACAAUGGGCGAAAGCCUGAUCCAGCAAUGCCGCGUGUGUGAAGAAGGCCUUCGGAUUGUAAAGCACUUUCGACGGGGACGAUGAUGACGGUACCCGUAGAAGAAGCCCCGGCGAACUUCGUGCCAGCAGCCGCGGUAAUACGAAGGCGGCUAGCGUUGAUCGGAAUGACUGGGCGUAAAGGGCGCGUAGGCGGUUUAUGCAGUCAGAUGUGAAAUCCCCGGGCUUAACCUGGGAACUGCAUUUGAGACGCAUAGACUAGAGGUCGAGAGAGGGUUGUGGAAUUCCCAGUGUAGAGGUGAAAUUCGUAGAUAUUGGGAAGAACACCGGUGGCGAAGGCGGCAACCUGGCUCGAUACUGACGCUGAGGCGCGAAAGCGAGGGGAGCAAACAGGAUUAGAUACCCUCGUAGUC